Molecule: ribosomal RNA, 253 nt
Filed under: uncultured bacterium
Lineage: Bacteria
Description: partial 16S ribosomal RNA
Rfam family: Bacterial small subunit ribosomal RNA
Source: RNAcentral
UACGGAGGGAGCAAGCGUUACUCGGAAUUAUUGGGCGUAAAGGGCGCGUAGGCGAUCUGACAAGUUCUGUGUGAAAGCCCACAUGUUAACUGUGGAAGUGCACCGAAAACUGUUGGAUUUGAGUUCAGGAGAGGAAGGCAGAAUUCCCGGUGUAGCGGUGAAAUGCGUAGAGAUCGGGAGGAAUACCAGUGGCGAAGGCGGCCUUCUGGACUGACACUGACGCUGAGGCGCGAAAGCCAGGGGAGCAAACGGG